This 420-nucleotide ribosomal RNA is filed under the name uncultured archaeon. RNAcentral describes it as "partial 16S ribosomal RNA". It matches the Rfam family "Archaeal small subunit ribosomal RNA", at positions 323 to 746 of the family's 1478-position model. The record is from RNAcentral.
CUACGGGUCGCUGCAGUCGAGGAAAUUUUACAAUGCUCGGAAGAGUGAUAGAAUGAGUCAGAGUGUUUCUCUUAGAGAAACUUUUAUCUGUUGUAAAAAGACAGAUGAAUAAGGACUGGGAAAGACCGGUGCCAGCCGCCGCGGUAAUACCGGCAGUCCAAGUCGCAUCCACAUUUAUUGGGUCUAAAACAUUCGUAGCUUGUUUUGUAAGUCUCUUGUGAAAUCUUAUAUCUCAAGUAUAAGUCGUGCAAGAGAUACUACAUUACUAGAGACCGGAAGACGUGAGGAGUAUGAUUGAGGUAGCGGUAAAAUGCGUUAAUCUUAAUCAGACUAACAAUAGCGAAGGCACCUUACGAGUACGGAUCUGACAGUGAGGAAUGAAGGCUAGGGGCGCAAAAGGGAUUAGAUACCCGAGUAGUC